CCUACGGGAGACAGCAGUAGGGAAUUUUCGUCAAUGGGCGCAAGCCUGAACGAGCAAUGCCGCGUGAACGAGGGAGGUCUUCGGAUCGUAAAGUUCUGUUGAAGGAGAAAAAGAGCGGAGAGAGGAAAUGCUUUCUGAUUGAUAUUACCCUUCGAGGAAGUCACGGCUAACUACGUGCCAGCAGCCGCGGUAAUACGUAGGUGGCGAGCGUUAUCCGGAAUGAUGGGGCGUAAAGGGUGCGUAGGCGGCCUGCUAAGUCUGGAGUGAAAGGUACCGGCUCAACCGGUACAGGCUCUGGAAACUGGCGGGCUAGAGAGCAGGAGAGGGCGGUGGAACUCCAUGUGUAGCGGUAAAAUGCGUAGAUAUAUGGAAGAACACCAGUGGCGAAGGCGGCCGCCUGGCCUGUUACUGACGCUGAGGCACGAAAGCGUGGGGAGCAAAUAGGAUUAGAUACCCUUGUAGUC
This 464-nucleotide ribosomal RNA is filed under the name uncultured bacterium. RNAcentral describes it as "partial 16S ribosomal RNA". It matches the Rfam family "Bacterial small subunit ribosomal RNA", at positions 338 to 795 of the family's 1533-position model. The record is from RNAcentral.